This 690-nucleotide long non-coding RNA is filed under the name Callithrix jacchus (white-tufted-ear marmoset). RNAcentral's name for it is "lncRNA (ENSCJAG00000078553.1)". Lineage: Eukaryota; Metazoa; Chordata; Mammalia; Primates; Cebidae. The record is from RNAcentral.
AGGAAAGGUCGCACGUGUGUCUGUAAAUCGAAAGGUUGAUGAGGCGCAGGUGGUCCUGCUCCGCGGAGAUUGCGGUAUUAGCAUGUCAAAGCCAAAAUGGAACCAAGGUUUCAGAGAUGACAAGGAAAAUCUUCAUUACCAUUUCAAGAACUGGGAACAAAGAAAAAUCCCAUUCCAGGACACAGGGAGGAAAUGCUCAUAGUUGAAUAGAAACUGUUGAAGAUUACCAUGGGAAUGCACCUGUGAACUUCCAGGGGGCUGUGCCCCCCAUCAGGUCAGUUUUCUUUAUGUCAUUCACAAUUUCCAGGGAUCAUGUCCAUGAUAAAGAACAAGAACUUUUUCACAGGCUACUGAAGCAUAUGUUUGACUUCCUAAAGAGCCAGCCGGGCACAAUGGCUCACACAUGUAAUCCCAGCAUUUUGGAAAGCUGAGGCGGGUGGAUCACCUGAGGUCAGGGGUUCAAACUAGCCUGGCUAACAUGGUUAAACCCCAUCUCUACUAAAAAUACAAACAUUAGCCAGGGGUGGUGGCAGGUACCUGUAAUCCCAGCUACUUGGGAGAAUGAUCCAGGAGAAUCACUUGAACCUGGAAGGCGGAGGUUGUAGUGAUCGGAGAUCCUGCUGUUGCACUUUAGCCUGGGGGACGAGAGCAAGAUGUUGUCUCAAAAAAACAAACAACAAAAAAAAAACC